GACGCUGCCAAAAAAGGAGAACCAGGGUUCAUAGGCAAGGCUGGAAAUCCAGGAGAGAGAGGCCCCCCUGGGAAGGCUGGAAAAGCAGGUAUUCCUGGCAGCACCGGAGAGAGGGGGGCCCAGGGUGAACCAGGACCCAAAGGACCUCCUGGAGAGGCAGGACCUGAUGGAGAACAAGGACAUGAAG
Scomber japonicus (chub mackerel) is the source of this 187-nucleotide long non-coding RNA. RefSeq lists it as uncharacterized. The record is from RefSeq and is a predicted model, not a curated record. NCBI's taxonomy places the organism in Eukaryota, Metazoa, Chordata, Actinopteri, Scombriformes, Scombridae. The transcript is spliced from 4 exons.